GACGGGGGAUGCAAGUGUUAUCUGGAAUCACUGGGCGUAAAGCGUCUGCAGGUGGUUUCCUAAGUCCACUGUUAAACCUUGAGGCUCAACCUCAAAUCUGCAUUGGAAACUAGGAGACUUGAGUAUAGUAGGGGUAGAGGGAAUUUCCAGUGGAGCGGUGAAAUGCGUAGAUAUUGGAAAGAACACCGAUGGCGAAGGCACUCUACUGGGCUAUUACUGACACUCAGAGACGAAAGCUAGGGGAGCAAAUGGG
RNAcentral lists this ribosomal RNA (253 nucleotides) under uncultured bacterium. RNAcentral describes it as "partial 16S ribosomal RNA". It matches the Rfam family "Bacterial small subunit ribosomal RNA", at positions 524 to 776 of the family's 1533-position model. The record is from RNAcentral.